UCAAGUUUCCAUCUACCUGCA
This 21-nucleotide non-coding RNA is filed under the name Caenorhabditis elegans. Lineage: Eukaryota; Metazoa; Nematoda; Chromadorea; Rhabditida; Rhabditidae. The record is from RNAcentral.